Molecule: long non-coding RNA, 230 nt
Filed under: Rhinopithecus roxellana (golden snub-nosed monkey)
Lineage: Eukaryota; Metazoa; Chordata; Mammalia; Primates; Cercopithecidae
Description: lncRNA (ENSRROG00000045870.1)
Source: RNAcentral
CAGAGAGAUUGAAACAAUUCACUACUGCCUUUCCUCCAGCUUCUCCUGGGCAUGCUACAUACACUGUGGGAAGGCGGAAGACUGACCUAGAACACCUUCAAGUGGAUGCUACACUUAAAAAUGAACUCCUGGAGGGUGAGACCAUGCAUGAAAACUGGCAGAAGACUCUAUCAUAAAGAGGAAGCCGUCAGGUUCUUGGAUAAUUGCUGAAUGGAACUAAGGGAAAUGAG